This 1554-nucleotide ribosomal RNA is filed under the name Staphylococcus aureus. RNAcentral's name for it is "16S ribosomal RNA". It matches the Rfam family "Bacterial small subunit ribosomal RNA". Lineage: Bacteria; Bacillati; Bacillota; Bacilli; Caryophanales; Staphylococcaceae. The record is from RNAcentral.
UUUAUGGAGAGUUUGAUCCUGGCUCAGGAUGAACGCUGGCGGCGUGCCUAAUACAUGCAAGUCGAGCGAACGGACGAGAAGCUUGCUUCUCUGAUGUUAGCGGCGGACGGGUGAGUAACACGUGGAUAACCUACCUAUAAGACUGGGAUAACUUCGGGAAACCGGAGCUAAUACCGGAUAAUAUUUUGAACCGCAUGGUUCAAAAGUGAAAGACGGUCUUGCUGUCACUUAUAGAUGGAUCCGCGCUGCAUUAGCUAGUUGGUAAGGUAACGGCUUACCAAGGCAACGAUGCAUAGCCGACCUGAGAGGGUGAUCGGCCACACUGGAACUGAGACACGGUCCAGACUCCUACGGGAGGCAGCAGUAGGGAAUCUUCCGCAAUGGGCGAAAGCCUGACGGAGCAACGCCGCGUGAGUGAUGAAGGUCUUCGGAUCGUAAAACUCUGUUAUUAGGGAAGAACAUAUGUGUAAGUAACUGUGCACAUCUUGACGGUACCUAAUCAGAAAGCCACGGCUAACUACGUGCCAGCAGCCGCGGUAAUACGUAGGUGGCAAGCGUUAUCCGGAAUUAUUGGGCGUAAAGCGCGCGUAGGCGGUUUUUUAAGUCUGAUGUGAAAGCCCACGGCUCAACCGUGGAGGGUCAUUGGAAACUGGAAAACUUGAGUGCAGAAGAGGAAAGUGGAAUUCCAUGUGUAGCGGUGAAAUGCGCAGAGAUAUGGAGGAACACCAGUGGCGAAGGCGACUUUCUGGUCUGUAACUGACGCUGAUGUGCGAAAGCGUGGGGAUCAAACAGGAUUAGAUACCCUGGUAGUCCACGCCGUAAACGAUGAGUGCUAAGUGUUNGNGGGUUUCCGCCCNUNAGUGCUGCAGCNAACGCAUUAAGCACUCCGCCUGGGGAGUACGACCGCAAGGUUGAAACUCAAAGGAAUUGACGGGGACCCGCACAAGCGGUGGAGCAUGUGGUUUAAUUCGAAGCAACGCGAAGAACCUUACCAAAUCUUGACAUCCUUUGACAACUCUAGAGAUAGAGCCUUCCCCUUCGGGGGACAAAGUGACAGGUGGUGCAUGGUUGUCGUCAGCUCGUGUCGUGAGAUGUUGGGUUAAGUCCCGCAACGAGCGCAACCCUUAAGCUUAGUUGCCAUCAUUAAGUUGGGCACUCUAAGUUGACUGCCGGUGACAAACCGGAGGAAGGUGGGGAUGACGUCAAAUCNNNNNNNNNNNNNNNNNNNNNNNNNNNNNNNNNUGCUACAAUGGACAAUACAAAGGGCAGCGAAACCGCGAGGUCAAGCAAAUCCCAUAAAGUUGUUCUCAGUUCGGAUUGUAGUCUGCAACUCGACUACAUGAAGCUGGAAUCGCUAGUAAUCGUAGAUCAGCAUGCUACGGUGAAUACGUUCCCGGGUCUUGUACACACCGCCCGUCACACCACGAGAGUUUGUAACACCCGAAGCCGGUGGAGUAACCUUUUAGGAGCUAGCCGUCGAAGGUGGGACAAAUGAUUGGGGUGAAGUCGUAACAAGGUAGCCGUAUCGGAAGGUGCGGCUGGAUCACCUCCUUU